Molecule: long non-coding RNA, 4455 nt
Filed under: Salvia miltiorrhiza (redroot sage)
Lineage: Eukaryota; Viridiplantae; Streptophyta; Magnoliopsida; Lamiales; Lamiaceae
Description: long non-coding RNA (SMIL_LNC005465)
Source: RNAcentral
CUCCUUAUAAGGAAGAAUGAGGAUUUCGAAACGAUCAAGAAAUUGGUGGACGAGACGACGUUCUACGACAAGCAGUGGCAAGCUGCCUGGCAAGAUGAGACAUCAGAGAAUAAGUAGUAGGGAGAGAUGUAAUGUAAUUUCUUCACCUAACAAUGCUGCUCAGUCUUCUUCUUGUUUUGCUUCAUGUCUUGAAUCACAAAAUGUGUUUUAUGUUAUCCACUUCUUUGGCCAUUGAUAUGUUGUUUUGAUUGCUCAAAGGCUCACUCCAAGAAUCUCUAACUUGUUUGAGAAUUUUGUAUAAUUCUUCAUAUAAGAUGUUGAUGUUUUAUUAUGGGUUAAUUCCACCAAAAAUAGCCUAGUUUAUUAUGGCACGUGUUUUAAUAAAUUGGUUGAGUGUCGUGAGUUCAAUAAGAAAUCUAUUUUUAUUGUAGUUUUAUAUUAAUUAAUUUGAUUGAAUGAUGGAUCCAAUAUUAAUAAAUAAAGGUAAUUAAGCUGGUUAUGUGGUUGGAAUAAAUGUUUUGCUCUUAAUGUAGUUUUAAAUUGAUUAAUUUGAUCGACAAUAUUCAGAGUUAUAAUCAGUAAAGUAUAUUAAAAAUGAACAUGUGGAGUACUCUUAUCGGUGCAAAAUAGCAAAAUGAGUAUAUUUUUUAUGGACGAAAGGAAUAUCAAUUUUGUACCUAAUUUUUAAAAAUAUUUUCAACUUCUAUUAUUCAAUUAAAUUUUCGUCACUAGAGUGGUGAUAUGACAUGCCCAAGAAAUACUAGUAAAGUCACCUAAGUUUGAAUUUUUCUUUUGAAAUAAAAUUUACACAUAAGUUUUCAGUUUUAAAUAUAUUAUAAAUUAGAUUAAACUUAUAAACUCUAUAAAAUAAUACAUCAAAUUAAAAUGUUACUAUGAGAAUAAGUUAUGUUUUGCUUAUGCUUUCGAAAAGGAAGAGCUAUAGUUAUAGUUAAUUAAAUUUAGCAUGAAUGAAAGAUCUAUGUGAUUUAAUAAAAAUCAUUAUUUUAAUCAAUUUAUUUUGUUGGUCAAAAAAUUCAUAAUUUUUAUUUUUUUUGAAAUUCAACCAAUCUAGAAUUUAUAAUCUAGCUGAAUUUUAAAAAUAGUAUAAAAAAAAGUUCAUGUAAUUAACCCAUUUAUUUAUUAUUUAUAUACUCCAUAUAUUAAUAACAUAUCGCCAAACAAGACACUCCGGCCUUCAAAAGGCCAAAUUUUGAUUAGCAAAGCAUUAAACAAUUGAAAAGGGUGGAGACAAAAUGAUGUUGGCGAGGAAUUCCCUCACCGGAAAAUGCCACCUUCUGUUGCGAUGGGCAGGUCGUUGUCGCACAACUACGGCGCAGUUGAGUUGGCGCAGCAAAAUUCCAGUUGAGGGCAACCCAACUCACCUUCGUAGGAGCUUCGCAAGCAGCUAUGGUAGACUAUUUGGUCGUCAGGAUUUGGGGUUUAAGCAUUCGGGUCUUCUCUCUUUUCGGGUUUCUAGCGGCGGCGGCUCCGGUGGCAGAACUGGUGGAGGGUUUGGUGGCUCCGGCAAUGGAGGUUCUGGUGGUGGAGGUGGCGGCGCUGGUGGAAGUAAUUGGUCGUUUCUUUCAUGGUAAAGAUUCUUCUUCUUGUAAAUUAGGUGUUUUUCUAAACUUUGAGUUUGAGAAGAAGAUGAUUUCUUUUAUGAUUUGAUUUGGUGAUGAGAGUUAUUGUACAAUAAUUCAUACAAGCUUUGUUUUAGCAUUUGGAGGAAAACAUGCAUGGAAAUAGGAGGUUGAAUCUUGCAAAUAUGAUUGGCAAGCUGCAGAUAAAAAUAAUACAUGUAUAAAGUUGGGGGCCUUCUGAUUGAAAUUUAUGUAAAUAUGUUGCAAGUUGAAAGCUUUGCUCCUCUGAUUAUCUCAUUGUUUUGUUAAUUGAGGAUUGAUUUUCCUUUUUUUUUUUUUUUUUCUUUUGCAUUCAUCUUGGCUUGCAUUUUCUCCAGGUAUAUGUCUCUUCUAGCGAAGUAUCCAGUGCCGACAAAAGCCGUCACAUCGGCAUUCUUGACUUUGGUUGGUGAUUUAACCUGUCAGGUAAGCCAAUCUAUAUCCUUGAGAACUGAGGGAAACUAGCUUUCUUGCUAGUGUUAAGAUGAUAAUAUGCUUUAACAUUGUAAAAAGGUGUAUUUUUUCUCACAUAAAAAGGAUGAGAGACAAGUUAUCUGGAGGUGAAAGGAAGCUGAUAGGAGUUUCCAAAUGGGGCUGUUGUUUUAUGAAGAAUAUGUAUAAAAUAACCUCUCGGGGUCUAAGGGGUUUAAAGUUGUGUAGUGAAUCUUUUUGCACUCUAUAUAUGUGCAGUUAACUCGUCUGCGUGUAUAUACUUUGGUUGGUCUAGCAAUAACCAUAGAUUUUCUUGAUAUUGUGUAUACUCUUAGCCUGGGAUGGGAUCUCAACCUGGCCAUCUCUUGUUCAUAGAUUUCAUGUGUUUGUUGCGUGUUCUUAGUUCUCACGUAAUUCUGAUAGACCUCGAUGUUAGGAAGAGAGGUUUGAUCUGUCUUCUUAAUUGCUUAAUGCUGUGUGUGAUGCACCUCAGCUCGUGAUUGAUCAAGCACCAUCUCUAGACUUGAAGAGGACGUCUAUCUUCACGUUGCUGGGGCUGGUUUUGGUUGGUCCGACGUUACAUUUCUGGUAAUUGCCUGAAAUUUAGUUUAUCAUGGCCUAAUCAAUGUUGGAUGUAUGCCAAAGCUUAAUUCUCUUAUGACUUUGCAUCUGAUCAUCGUUUGAGAUUUAAUACGAAUUAUCAUGUAUCAUGUUUACACAAUUACAUCUACCACUAUGCAAUGACAACCUUAAAGAUGCUUGUUUCAGCAUGCUUUCUACUACAUUAAUGGAAUUGCAUUCUUACUCGUAGAGAGUAAGGCUGUGACUUAUGAGGAUUCUUACCAUUAAGAGAGUGUUUGGCUAUAAUGAUUGUUGGCUAUAGUAUUAUUAAAAAAAUAAGUUGGCUAUAGGAUUAUUAAAAUAAGCUGUUGAAGCUUAUUUUACACCUUAUAAGUUGUGUAGGAGCUUAUAAGCUCAACCAAACACCCCCUAAGUAACAACUUCACAUGCAUCUAUGGAAUUGAUUCUUACAACCUCUCAAUUCUUUUUGUUGGAGCUCAAUUUUCCUCUAAUGUUCACUUUCUUCGGUUUUAAAUGGGCGAAUAUCCCAAGGCCCGUGAUAUGUAUCCACCUCAAGCGAUGCGCUCUAAUUCACCCAUAUCUUUCUAGUUAGUAACUCAAGUCCUUAGUAUUUUGAAGACAAAUUGCUUUUGUUGUCACAUAUUUAGGUACUUGUCUCUGAGUAAACUGGUCACAACCCCUGGAGCUUAUGGUGUUUUGUCGCGGCUUCUCCUUGACCAGGUAAUGUCUCGUUCCUGCUGCUUGGUUAGAAAUGCCAUAUCGCCUCAUAAUCUCAUACUAGUGCGGAUCUUGCACCUUGUCGUGCAAUGCAGUUCCUUUUUGCUCCCACUUUCAUCGGAAUAUUCCUGUCUACGCUGGUCACACUCGAGGGGAGGCCAUCGGAUGUGAUCCCAAAGCUACAGCAGGUAUUCAUUAUUAAACAUUCGCUCGUUUUGUUGAAAGGGCCCGGUGGCGCAAGCGCUAAUCUUGUGUUUCGCAGGAGUGGUUUUCAUCAGUUGUUGCGAAUUGGCAGCUGUGGAUUCCUUUCCAGUUCCUCAACUUCCGUUUUGUGCCGCAGCAAUUCCAGGUAGAGUUAAUAUAUCAAAAUAUUCAUUUUACUACUAAGAAGCUUUUCAAUUGAUUGUAUGCAAAAUAGGGUCAAUUCACGACUAACAAACUUAACCAAAAACAUGUAUCAUGAUGUUGAGUUUCCUUAAUUUUUCCUUGUCAUUUUUGCAGGUCCUUGCAGCCAACUUCAUUGCCUUGGUAUGGAAUGUGAUUCUCUCAUAUAAAGCUCACAAACAAGUUGUUGCCAAAUAGGUAAAACGUAGAUAAUGAAGCGCAACUUAAUUAGUAAUAUACGUUUCCUCUAAUCAUUAGGUUGAGGGUUUGAGUCAUCACAGCCGCAAAUGGAUGUAUCUUUUCUUUUUAAAAAGCCAAAAAAUAAAAAAAGGUGUUCUCCUUAUAAGGAAGAAUGAGGAUUUCGAAACGAUCAAGAAAUUGGUGGACGAGACGACGUUCUACGACAAGCAGUGGCAAGCUGCCUGGCAAGAUGAGACAUCAGAGAAUAAGUAGUAGGGAGAGAUGUAAUGUAAUUUCUUCACCUAACAAUGCUGCUCAGUCUUCUUCUUGUUUUGCUUCAUGUCUUGAAUCACAAAAUGUGUUUUAUGUUAUCCACUUCUUUGGCCAUUGAUAUGUUGUUUUGAUUGCUCAAAGGCUCACUCCAAGAAUCUCUAAGUUGUUUGAGAAUUUUGUGUUUUGAUUUGCUCAAAGAGCUCACUCCAAGAAUCUCUAACUUGUUUGAGAAUUUUGUAUAAUUCUUCAUAUAAGAUGUUGAUGUUUU